This 76-nucleotide transfer RNA is filed under the name Trueperaceae bacterium. RNAcentral describes it as "tRNA-Thr". It matches the Rfam family "tRNA". Rfam says of the family: Transfer RNA (tRNA) molecules are approximately 80 nucleotides in length. Their secondary structure includes four short double-helical elements and three loops (D, anti-codon, and T loops). Lineage: Bacteria; Thermotogati; Deinococcota; Deinococci; Trueperales; Trueperaceae. The record is from RNAcentral.
GCCACCCUAGCUCAAUUGGUAGAGCGCCCGACUUGUAAUCGGAAGGUUGUCGGUUCGAUUCCGAUGGGUGGCUCCA